GCCCGGUUGGCUCAGUCGGUAGAGCGUGUGACUCUUAAGCAUCUCUCUCGGGGGGUUGUGAAGGAAUCUCAAGGUCGCGAGUUCGAGCCUCGCAUCGGGCU
Kalaharituber pfeilii is the source of this 101-nucleotide non-coding RNA. The record is from the annotation of a GenBank genome assembly. Lineage: Eukaryota; Fungi; Ascomycota; Pezizomycetes; Pezizales; Pezizaceae.